GACGAACGCUGGCGGCGUGCUUAACACAUGCAAGUCGAACGGAAAGGCCCUGCUUUUGUGGGGUGCUCGAGUGGCGAACGGGUGAGUAACACGUGAGUAACCUGCCCUUGACUUUGGGAUAACUUCAGGAAACUGGGGCUAAUACCGGAUAGGAGCUCCUGCUGCAUGGUGGGGGUUGGAAAGUUUCGGCGGUUGGGGAUGUACUCGCGGCUUAUCAGCUUGUUGGUGGGGUAGUGGCUUACCAAGGCUUUGACGGGUAGCCGGCCUGAGAGGGUGACCGGCCACAGUGGGACUGAGAUACGGCCCAGACGCCUACGGGAGGCAACAGUGGGGAAUAGUGCACAAUGGGCGGAAGCCUGAUGCAGCAACGCCGCGUGCGGGAUGACGGCCUUCGGGUUGUAAACCGCUUUCGCCUGUGACGAAGCGUGAGUGACGGUAAUGGGUAAAGAAGCACCGGCUAACUACGU
This 467-nucleotide ribosomal RNA is filed under the name uncultured bacterium. RNAcentral's name for it is "partial 16S ribosomal RNA". It matches the Rfam family "Bacterial small subunit ribosomal RNA", at positions 28 to 506 of the family's 1533-position model. The record is from RNAcentral.